This is a long non-coding RNA of Cryptomeria japonica (Japanese cedar), 1589 nucleotides long. RefSeq lists it as uncharacterized. The record is from RefSeq and is a predicted model, not a curated record. The transcript is spliced from 3 exons. Lineage: Eukaryota; Viridiplantae; Streptophyta; Pinopsida; Cupressales; Cupressaceae.
UAUAUUUCCAGACGUUUAUCCUUUGCUUUAUGUUGUCGAGUGGAGUGUAUCUCUACUCAGAGCCGAGGGGCUGGAUAACUAUUACAAAGGUCAAAUGCUUAUGCUGAAGUUUUGGGUCGGCGUGUGGUUUCCAUGGCACUGCGAUUGGGGUUUCCAUGGACAACACCAGAAUCGUCCUGGUGGCCAUCGAGAACCUCAUGAUCGCCCAAUUCUAGGAGCCCCAAUAAUUACUAUGAAGCUGCUCAUGUUGGUGGAUGUUAGAUUUUAUGAAAGAAACAUAUUAUUACUCUGUUUCUGACUUAUGUUUUUCUGUUUUUCUAUUCUGGGAUCUGAAUUUUGGUGUUUUGAGCUUGAGUCUCAUUUGCUUUGAAUUGUUAUUGAAGAAUUUGAAAUUACCCUGAUUGUUUGUUCAGUUGUUUUAAUGGUAUGGAUUCUAUUAGUCUUUUGUAAAUUAGUUUUAUGAUGUUUCAGUGACGCUAUAGUUCUCAAAAAGAAAUGUUACAUCCUGUCUAUUUCAGAGCGUUUGAUUUUCUUUGGAGAAUAAAUUUAUUCUAUCACUUCUCUACUCCUUUCUAUUUUAUUUUAUUUCUUUCCUUGUAAUUAGCCUCUCUAGCACAAGCAGAAUGGAGAUGUAAGACACAUUUAUCUAUGUUUGUAUUUCCUUCUUUCAUGAAUGUGUGAUUGAAAUUGCUGUAAUUGUUUGUUCAGAUGUUAUAAUGGUAAUUUAACAUUUUCUUUAUUUGGUGAUAUUACUUAUUUUCUUACUUUUUUUUUCCAAUUUUCCAUGCACCCCCAAUUGUUUAGUUCAUGUCUUGCUCAACAAUUGAUUUAUAGUGUAAUUAGUGAUGAUAGAUUUAAUUAAUGAUUGUUAAUUUGUAAUAGAUUAUAUUGAUGUACUGGCCCAGAUACUCUUUUUCGUAAGGAAGGGGUUGAGGUUUUGUACAGUGCAUAUUUUCCGUAACUUCAUUUCCAAUUUUCCAAAAUUGAUUUUAUUCUUGAAGCUGAAACCCUCAUCUGUUCUUAUCUACGGUUUAAAGUAGCUUUGUGUACAAAACACCUUACCUUUCUCUCACCCAUAUUUUUGUUGCUGCACGAACUCUGUGAAAGUAUAACCUACAUACAGGAAAGAACGUUAAUAUGCAACUAAGUUACUAUGAAGUUGUUCAUAUUAGUGGCUGUUAGAUUUUAUGACUGUAUAUUUUUUUGACUGCAUCUUUAUUUAGUAUUUACUGUAUUGUGUAAUAUAGGUGACUCUGUGAUGCUUUGGGUGAGUACUUGCAAUUACUCUGUUUUUGACUUGGGUUUGUUGUUCUGGGAUCUAAAUUCUGGUGUUUUCAGUUUUGAGUCCCACUUGCUUUGAAUUGUUAUUGAAGGAUUUUCCUUACAAUUAUUAUUACUCUGUUUUUGACUUGGGUUUUGUUGUUCUGGGAUCCGAAUUCUGGUGUUUUGAGUUUUUGAGUCUCAUUUGCUUUGAAUUGUUAUUGAAGGAUUUGAGAAAAUUGACAUUGGAGAUGAGAAAAUUUGGUUUGGGUAGAAUUGUAUUUAGUUUCUUGUUGGAUAGGCCAAUUCUUAUGUCAUGACAAUCCUUU